CAUGUGUUCUGACCCUGGGGUAUGUAUUUUCUACCUGCAAGCUGCCCAGUGUGUCCUGAAGAUGUCUGGAAGAAAGGUGGGGGAGAUGAGUGCCACGUUAAUUGAAAUUAAACAGCUGCCACGUUCUGGCUGGGACAAAA
Long non-coding RNA from Oxyura jamaicensis (ruddy duck), 140 nucleotides. RefSeq lists it as uncharacterized. The transcript has 2 exons. NCBI's taxonomy places the organism in Eukaryota, Metazoa, Chordata, Aves, Anseriformes, Anatidae. The record is from RefSeq and is a predicted model, not a curated record.